GACGAACGCUGGCGGCGUGCUUAACACAUGCAAGUCGAACGGUAAGGCCUUCGGGUACACGAGUGGCGAACGGGUGAGUAACACGUGGGUGAUCUGCCCUGCACUUUGGGAUAAGCCUGGGAAACUGGGUCUAAUACCGAAUACACCCUGCUGGCUGCAUGGCCUGGUGGGGGAAAGCUUUUGCGGUGUGGGAUGGGCCCGCGGCCUAUCAGCUUGUUGGUGGGGUGCUGGCCUACCAAGGCGACGACGGGUAGCCGGCCUGAGAGGGUGACCGGCCACACUGGGACUGAGAUACGGCCCAGACUCCUACGGGAGGCAGCAGUGGGGAAUAUUGCACAAUGGGCGCAAGCCUGAUGCAGCGACGCCGCGUGGGGGAUGACGGCCUUCGGGUUGUAAACCUCUUUCAGUGCCGACGAAGCGCAAGUGACGGUGGGCACAGAAGAAGGACCGGCCAACUACGUGCCAGCCGCCGCAGUAA
Molecule: ribosomal RNA, 478 nt
Filed under: uncultured bacterium
Lineage: Bacteria
Description: partial 16S ribosomal RNA
Rfam family: Bacterial small subunit ribosomal RNA
Source: RNAcentral